GACGAACGCUGGCGGCGUGCUUAACACAUGCAAGUCGAACGGAAAGGCCCUGCUUUUGUGGGGUGCUCGAGUGGCGAACGGGUGAGUAACACGUGAGUAACCUGCCCUUGACUUUGGGAUAACUUCAGGAAACUGGGGCUAAUACCGGAUAGGAGCUCCUGCUGCAUGGUGGGGGUUGGAAAGUUUCGGCGGUUGGGGAUGGACUCGCGGCUUAUGAGCUUGUUGGUGGGGUAGUGGCUUACCAAGGCUUUGACGGGUAGCCGGCCUGAGAGGGUGACCGGCCACAUUGGGACUGAGAUACGGACCAGACUCCUACGGGAGGCAGCAGUGGGGAAUAUUGCACAAUGGGCGGAAGCCUGAUGCAGCAACGCCGCGUGCGGGAUGACGGCCUUCGGGUUGUAAACCGCUUUCGCCUGUGACGAAGCGUGAGUGACGGUAAUGGGUAAAGAAGCACCGGCUAACUACGUG
Molecule: ribosomal RNA, 468 nt
Filed under: uncultured bacterium
Lineage: Bacteria
Description: partial 16S ribosomal RNA
Rfam family: Bacterial small subunit ribosomal RNA
Source: RNAcentral